AUUGAUGUCUUGCAAGUCUUUAAAAUAUUUCAUCAUUACAGAUUUGAUAAGACCAAAAGCUUGAUAAAUCAUCUUACUGUAGCAGAAGUGUCUUUGGCCUCCAAAUUUACAAGAACACCAUUGUUUCCAAAUUUCCCAACAAAUGAUACUAGGAGUGAUAUUCAAUAAAAUUUUAUGGAUAUCAUUCUCUGGUCUUACACUCCACCAAGUGUUAAAGAUGUCGACAAUUGGUUGAUUUACAUGUUGAAUUCCAAAGGGAUUUCCCAUGCUAUUCCUUAUGUGCUUUGCUGCGUCACCUUGCCAAAAACAUGAUGCAUAGUAUCAUUUUAUACAAUCCUACAACAAAAGCAAUCACUUUGUGAGUUAAUAUUGAAUUUAAUGAUGACGUCAUUAAAAGGUAAUCUCCUUUUAAUCAUCCUCCACGCCAGAAAAGAGAUUUUAAAAGGAACUCUAUUAUGCCAAAGAUUAUUCAGGAAAUCAUUUUUGGGUCUUUGUUUCCUAACAAUCUGCCAGGCAGAAUUAUUAGUGAAUAUACCAUUCUCAGAGAAAUUCCAUAUGGGGUAGUCAAGUGCGUUGUUAUUACGAAUUCCAACAUUAUAAAUCAGGUUCACAAUGUAAUUAGGAAUAACCGUACUUAAAUUUUCAAAGUUCCAGGUACCAUUCUCAAUAAAAGAGUU
This 677-nucleotide long non-coding RNA is filed under the name Capsicum annuum. RNAcentral describes it as "long non-coding RNA (CANN_LNC016485)". The record is from RNAcentral. Lineage: Eukaryota; Viridiplantae; Streptophyta; Magnoliopsida; Solanales; Solanaceae.